Molecule: small RNA, 90 nt
Filed under: Fukomys damarensis (Damara mole-rat)
Lineage: Eukaryota; Metazoa; Chordata; Mammalia; Rodentia; Bathyergidae
Description: TUC338 (ENSFDAG00000000178.1)
Source: RNAcentral
CAGAACAGGUACAGCACAGGCAGUGACAGUGCAGCUUUCCCCACACCGCCCCAUGUGCCUCAACCCUGACCUGGAGGGACCACCUCUAGA